RNAcentral lists this transfer RNA (71 nucleotides) under Marmota marmota marmota (Alpine marmot). It matches the Rfam family "tRNA". Rfam says of the family: Transfer RNA (tRNA) molecules are approximately 80 nucleotides in length. The record is from Rfam by way of RNAcentral. RNAcentral also lists the same sequence under 1 other name. Lineage: Eukaryota; Metazoa; Chordata; Mammalia; Rodentia; Sciuridae.
GUGGUUGUAGCUCAGCGGUAGAGCGCUUGCCUAGCAAGUGUGAGGCCUUGAGUUGGAUCCUCAGCACCACA